AUGCACGCUGGCGGCGUGCCUAAUACCUGCCAGUCGCGCGAACAGACGAGGAGCUUGCUCCUCUGACGUUAGCGGCGGACGGGUGAGUAACACGUGGAUAACCUACCUAUAAGACUGGGAUAACUUCGGGAAACCGGAGCUAAUACCGGAUAAUAUAUUGAACCGCAUGGUUCAAUAGUGAAAGACGGUUUUGCUGUCACUUAUAGAUGGAUCCGCGCCGCAUUAGCUAGUUGGUAAGGUAACGGCUUACCAAGGCGACGAUGCGUCGCCGACCUGAGAGGGUGAUCGGCCACACUGGAACUGAGACACGGUCCAGACUCCUACGGGAGGCAGCAGUAGGGAAUCUUCCGCAAAGGGCGAAAGCUUGACGGAGCAACGCCGCGUGAGUGAUGAAGGUCUUCGGAUCGUAAAACUCUGUUAUUAGGGAAGAACAAAUGUGUAAGUAACUAUGCACGUCUUGACGGUACCUAAUCAGAAAGCCACGGCUAACUACGUG
RNAcentral lists this ribosomal RNA (496 nucleotides) under uncultured bacterium. Its description in RNAcentral is "partial 16S ribosomal RNA". It matches the Rfam family "Bacterial small subunit ribosomal RNA", at positions 29 to 507 of the family's 1533-position model. The record is from RNAcentral.